This 76-nucleotide transfer RNA is filed under the name Lupinus albus (white lupine). RNAcentral describes it as "tRNA-Trp". It matches the Rfam family "tRNA". From Rfam's summary of the family: Transfer RNA (tRNA) molecules are approximately 80 nucleotides in length. Their secondary structure includes four short double-helical elements and three loops (D, anti-codon, and T loops). Lineage: Eukaryota; Viridiplantae; Streptophyta; Magnoliopsida; Fabales; Fabaceae. The record is from RNAcentral.
AGCGCUCUUAGUUCAGUUCGGUAGAACACGGGUCUCCAAAACCCGAUGUCGUAGGUUCAAAUCCUACAGAGCAUGA